GGAAGGAUCAUUCAUGUGAUUUUAACACCCAACUUUAUGCAAACUAUUAGUAGCUAAAGUGCUAAAGGUUCUGUGUUUUUCUUUUGUUGGCUGCGUUUUCUUUUACCUCAUACUAUUUUCAAAGCACUAUAAAAAAGGGUAAUUUUUACCCAGAAAAUAGUUAAAGAAAUGAUAAAUGCUACCUUUAAUUUACACUAAAAUUCAAUCUAAAUCAUACCAUAAAACAUGUAAACUAUUACAACUUUUAACGAUGGAUCCCUCGGCUCUUACUUCGAUGAAGAACGCAGCGAAUUGCGAUAACUAAUGUGACUUGCGCACACUCGUGAAUCAUCAAAAUUUUGAACGCACAUUGCACUUGCUGGUUAAUCCGGCAAGUAUGCCUAUUUCAGUGUCAUUUUAACUCUUCUUCCCUUAAAAGGUGUUGAAGGAUUUGAGACUUUUGUUUGCAAGAACAAUGUCUUUAAAUGUAGGUGUGCUUUUUAUCUAGUACAAAGUUGUUCUUUCUUUGGGGUUGUUUGUGCCUUUCCUUGUGGAGGGUUCUGGGUAGUUUCAUACUUGCGAUAAGCCUGUUGCCAGUGUGCAUUAAGGGAAAGAAACGGCCUUUAUAGGGGUAAAGAUAAAGUUAAACGACAUUGAUUGUUAAUUUAGUCAAUGCCACACUUUUUCGUUGCUUUUCUUUAAAGGAACGCUCUUUUUGCUGGGUAAAGUAGGAAUGUCAAGGGUGUAUGUGAUACUUUUCAGUAAAGCAACAUUUAGAUAUUAUGGCACCUUAAAUUAUAGGAAUGUUUAACCAAGGUCAUACUUGGUUUAUACCAAAACAUUGACCUGAAAUUAGGUAUGAGGACCCGCUGAACUUAAGCAUAUCAAUAAGCGGAGGAAAAGAAAGUAACGACGAUUCCCUUAGUAGCGGCGAGCGAACUGGGAAAAGCUCAACUUUAAAAUCUGAGUAUUUUAUACUCCGAAUUGUAGUUUGUGGAAACAUUCUCCGGGCACGGCUAGUAGGUAAAGACCUCUGGAAUGAGGCACCAUAGAGGGUGAUAGUCCCGUUUAUACUUGCUAGAGUUACCUUGUCCUAAUAUGAGAUGUUUUUGAAGAGUCGGGUUGUUUGGGAAUGCAGCCCAAAAUGGGAGGUAAAUUUCUCCUAAGGCUAAAUAUUAGUAAGAGACCGAUAGCAAACAAGUACCGUGAGGGAAAGGUGAAAAGAACUUUGAAAAGAAAGUUAAAAGUACGUGAAAUCGUUAAAAGGGAAACGUUCCCAGGCAUCAUAACUUACCUAGAAAUCAGCCAAAGGGUGUUUUUGACGCUCUCUGGUGCACUUUCUUCUUAAGAACGUUAACAUCAGUGCUGGUGGGUAGAAUACGGGUUGUUUGGAAUGUGGCCUAGUACUUUUGUUCUAGGUGUUAUAGCCUUUCAAUUUCUGCUAUCCCUGGUACUGAAUUAAGCAGCAAAGGCCUUUGGCAACACUUGACAAGGCUGUUCACCUGCUUUCAUUACUGUUGUCUUUGUUAUUUUCCAUUAUGGGGGGUAGGAAAGCACCUUUAAUGUUAAGUAGAAAGAUAGUCCAAGUGUCACUUUGCUUAGGAUGUUGACUAGAUGACUUUGAACGACCCGUCUUGAAACACGGACCAAGGAGUCUACCACACAUGCAAGUGUUUGGGUGUCAAACCCCUACGCGAAAUGAAAGUGAUUUUUGAUGGGAUCCCUUUAGGGGGCGCACCAUUACCCGAUCUUAGCUUAUAAAGUAGCUGGAUUUGAGGCGGAGCAUGUCUGAUAGGACCCGAAAGAUGGUGAUCUAUGCCUGAAUAGGGUGAAGCCAGAGGAAACUCUGGUGGAGGCUCGUAGCGAUUCUGACGUGCAAAUCGAUCGUCAAAUUUGGGCAUAGGGGCGAAAGACUAAUCGAACCAUCUAGUAGCUGGUUCCCUC
RNAcentral lists this unclassified non-coding RNA (1923 nucleotides) under uncultured fungus. RNAcentral describes it as "sequence contains 18S rRNA gene, ITS1, 5.8S rRNA gene, ITS2, 28S rRNA gene". The stretch from base 822 to 1923 matches the Rfam family "Eukaryotic large subunit ribosomal RNA", at positions 1 to 961 of the family's 3401-position model. Lineage: Eukaryota; Fungi. The record is from RNAcentral.